AUAUGCUUGUCCCAAAGAUUAAGCCAUGCAUGCUGCGAUUCCGUAAAAAUCUGCGAACAGCUCCGUAUAUCUGUUGUCACCAGUAACGCCCAUAUGCGCCGUCGUCCGGCUGAUCGGAUAGACGCGGUAAUUCUGCUUGUAAUACGUGUUCACCGCCGGGAGUGUGUCCGGCCCUCACGGGCUGGGCUUCUCCACAUUCCGGCUGGAGUCCCAAGGCAUCAAUCCCGCUCCGGCGGGGGAGGAGUCCCCGGGACAGAACCACAGAAGGCCUUCGAGGCCCUCGUAGGCGCUGGGCUUCAGACCUAUCAACUGUGGAGGCUGGGUAAGGUCCAGCCUCGGUGAUAACGGGUACAGAGGAUCAGGGUUCGGUCCUGGAGAGGUAGCCUGAGAGAUAGCUACUACUUCUAAGGAAGGCAGCAGGCGCGCAACGUUCCCAAUGGUUUGCCACCCCGUGGCUGAGGACGUUAAGGGACAUAACAAUGCCCUGCCCUUUCGGGCGGGGUAAUUGUAAUGGGGGCGUUCUAAACCCCCCACCGAGUAGCA
This 543-nucleotide ribosomal RNA is filed under the name Arcyria globosa. Its description in RNAcentral is "SSU rRNA". It matches the Rfam family "Eukaryotic small subunit ribosomal RNA", at positions 26 to 546 of the family's 1831-position model. Lineage: Eukaryota; Evosea; Eumycetozoa; Trichiida; Trichiidae. The record is from RNAcentral.